Apis laboriosa (Himalayan honeybee) is the source of this 2052-nucleotide long non-coding RNA. RefSeq lists it as uncharacterized. The record is from RefSeq and is a predicted model, not a curated record. Lineage: Eukaryota; Metazoa; Arthropoda; Insecta; Hymenoptera; Apidae. The transcript has 4 exons.
CGGAACUUACCUGUUCCCGAAUGCUGUAACUCACUGAUAGUGCAACUUUCAUACCAAUUGUCGAAUAAACGAGAACAAAACUAAAGGUAGCAGAAUGAGGGAAGAAAAAAAAAAGGAAGAAGGUGAGAGAACGGGCACCGCGCCAUAAAUCGUCGUUUAACCUUAAAAAUCGUCGUUGCUAAUGGACAUUUGCUGUCGAACCUCGAGAAAUCGUUGCGCUCGUAGCCGCGAGAAUUCUUUCAACGACAUUGUGCGAAGUGCCGCUCGACAAAGGAAGAAUAAAGAUUUGUGUCUUACUGAUUAUCCAGUUCGUGUACUAUACUCGGCUUUAGAUACAUUCGAGUCAACUCCGACGAGAUAAAGCGUUUGUUUUGCGCAUGCUUGCAUGAAAUGCGCUCAGGAUGCAGCAUACUUUGAGGAAGCUUGUUUUAUUCCAUAAAGAGACGCAAGGAACACGGAACGAAGCGGGAUCGUGUGUCAUCAGCGGGCAAUGGCGAUAAUGAAGAGAGAAGAGGAGUCGGCGAUCCUCGCGGUGUAAAGGCUCGAGUUUGAGUGUGGCGCGUGCCACGGCGUCCUUCACCGCAUCAACAUAUGGCUACAAAAAAAUCGUUUCCUUUGCUCCUUUCGUAUCGAUGAAACGACAGAUGCCUUCAUUACGGAGACUGGAAAAAAUAUAAUAAGCGUGUCUCGAUCAUCGCCGGGAAUAAAAAGAAGCCGAAGAACAGGAGGAAAGAAAAAAGAAACUUAUAUAUACUCACUUCGACAAUCAGCAGUGGAUUAGAACAAGGACUAAAUGGAGGGAAAAUUAUCGGAAUGCAACGGUCGAGACGAAUCGCCUUGAGACAAUUAAAGAUAUCGAUCUCGGAUCUACCCCUGGUUGCCGGCGCGUGCCCUGCGCCAACCUGGGCCGCCGCAAGGUGUUACCCCGGUGAGCGCGGCAGAUUUCAGGAUAAAGAGGGCCGAUUCCACGGGGGAAAAAACCUUGUCCACUCGGAUGUGACGGUGCAGACCGCCUCCAGGAUUCGUUAACCCGGCAAGGACGCGAGUUUUAUUUUCGCUUUUAUUUUGUGACUACGAGUAGAGUUCACGAUCCUCGAAUUUGGAUCAUUCUUGUUAUUUUGUAGAUUUUUUUUUUUUUUCGUUGAUAAAUUUUUUAAUUUAGCAUUUUAUCAAUGAAGGUUCACGAUUCUCGAUUUUGGAUCACUCUUGUUAUUUUGUAAUUAAAUUUUUUUUUUUUUUUUUUUUCGUUGACAAAUUCUUUAAUCUAGAUUGUUCUUGUUAUUCCUUCCUUUGAGAAAUAUAAUUAGUCUCUUUCGUUGAGAAAUUUUUUAAUCUAGCAAAGAUGUAAUAUUUUAUUAUUAUAAUUCUUGAACUUUUAUAAUUCUUAAUUAUAAUUUGUUUUUUACAUACAUUUUUUUUCAUUGACAAAUUCGUUAAUCUAGCGAAGAUUUAACGAGUUUUAUUAUAAUUCACCGAUAAAUAUCAUAUAAAUACUUCAAAUAGAACCAUUCCCAUUAUUUCACCCUUUGAAAAAUAUAAUUAGUUUUCGCGUCGGAUGUGACGAAUCGUUAAAAAAAAAUUUUCAUCCACGAGUUUCUUAACGAGUUGUAUUAAUUCUUAUUAAGUUGUGUACACCUUCACAAUCAUUCCUUCGUUAUCUCAUGACGAAUCGUGGCAAGAUUCGCUUUAAUUCCAUCUAUGAUCCGUUAAAUUGCGAUCACUUCUAUUUCUUCCUUCGACAUAUAAUUGAUAAUUGGUUUUCGAUGAACGUCGUAAAUCGUGACAGAGUCGUUAACAAGUUUUCAUCGACGUUCGAACGACUCGUUCGAUGGCCACUGAAAAUCAAUUAAGCCCAGGUGGGGCGCGUGGCUCGAACCGUGAUAGAUCGGUGUUGCCGUUUUCACCGUCGACGAUCUAUUUUUCUCGAAAAAGUAUCGGCCCACGAGAGCCAUAUGGCGCGCGACGACGAAACGGUGCGUUACGGUGCGAUUCGACGAUGAAAAUAAAAACGCGAAUGAAAGUGGAAGAGAGAAGAAAAGAAAAAGAAAAAAA